ACUCGGGCACGAUCCGCUCCAUAAGUGGGUGGAACCGACCUGUAGUCCAACCCUGAGGGA
Corynebacterium sp. KPL1821 is the source of this 60-nucleotide regulatory RNA element. It matches the Rfam family "L31-Corynebacteriaceae ribosomal protein leader". The record is from Rfam. Lineage: Bacteria; Bacillati; Actinomycetota; Actinomycetes; Mycobacteriales; Corynebacteriaceae.